UACAGAGGCCUCAAGCGUUAUCCGGAAUCAUUGGGCGUAAAGGGUGUCAAGGCGGUCAUGUUAGUCGUUCGUUAAAUCUGGGGGCUCAACCUCCAGCCUGCGAGCGAAACGGCAUGACUAGAGGUUGGAAGAGGUGCGUGGAACUCACGGUGUAGGGGUGAAAUCCGUUGAUAUCGUGGGGAACACCAAAGGCGAAGGCAGCGCACUGGUCCAAAUCUGACGCUCACACACGAAAGCCAGGGUAGCGAAUGGG
This 253-nucleotide ribosomal RNA is filed under the name uncultured prokaryote. RNAcentral describes it as "partial 16S ribosomal RNA". It matches the Rfam family "Bacterial small subunit ribosomal RNA", at positions 524 to 776 of the family's 1533-position model. The record is from RNAcentral.